AUUUACCUAAUAUAAUUAGUAUAUUUGACUUCCAAUCAAAAAGUUUGACUUUAAUCAAGGUAAAUA
RNAcentral lists this transfer RNA (66 nucleotides) under Rhabdoblatta melancholica. RNAcentral describes it as "tRNA-Gly". The record is from RNAcentral. Lineage: Eukaryota; Metazoa; Arthropoda; Insecta; Blattodea; Blaberidae.